UCAGUAAGUCGGUCUAUCGCUUCAAAGUAAGAGGAAAGUCCGGGCAAUAUAGAGCACCAUGCUUCCUAACGGGAAGAUCGCCGCGAGGUGAUAGUAGCGUAACAGAAAAUUACCGCCACUUAUGUGGUAAGGGUGAAAAGGCGAGGUAAGAGCUCACCGAACGCUUGGCGACAAGAGUUGCAAUACGCCUGAUGGAUUGUAAGACCAUGUAUAUUUCGAAGCUUAGCUACACAGCUGCUCGUUGUGGUUGCCUUCGGGCAAGUCGGAAGGGGUAGGUCGCUGGAGGUCGUGGGUGACUGCGAUCCGAGAUAAAUGAUAGACGCUCUUUCGGGAGUACAGAACUCGGCUUAUAGACGGACUGAUAUU
Molecule: RNase P RNA, 366 nt
Filed under: Bacteroidales bacterium
Lineage: Bacteria; Pseudomonadati; Bacteroidota; Bacteroidia; Bacteroidales
Description: RNase P RNA component class A
Rfam family: Bacterial RNase P class A
About the family: Ribonuclease P (RNase P) is a ubiquitous endoribonuclease, found in archaea, bacteria and eukarya as well as chloroplasts and mitochondria. Its best characterised activity is the generation of mature 5'-ends of tRNAs by cleaving the 5'-leader elements of precursor-tRNAs.
Source: RNAcentral